CGCCUGCAGGCCACGGGUUGGGAACUGAUGGAGGGAGAGGGGCGAGAGUAUCUUGCUCUGAACCACCACCACUGGAUCCAUCAUUCAGGUUCAGAGAGGCCAUGUCUGGAAGCCAAAAGAAAAAGAUUCUGUGAUGGAUUCUAGAUGAUUCAGGAUAUCUGAUGCUGAACAAUCUAUUGUGUAUAGAUGACCAGGAUACAGGGUCAAGUCUGGGAGGAUGAGACAUACACUGGACACAAAGUAAGGAAUGACUGGUGAAAAGCAAGAUCAUAAGAUCAAGUGGCAGGAAGGAAAAGGAGAGGCACUGAAACAACUGUACAGCACGCAGCCGGAUACUGGACAGACAUACACAAACAGUUACCAGAAAAACAAGACUCCCUGAGAGACUAUGUACCAAGUAAUUUCACUCCAAUCAUCUAAAAUGCGUCAUUCUGGAACAUCACAUGACACCUGACCUAACUGGCUUUGGUUCUGAGUAUUGACAUUGCUAUAAUCUAAAUGCCCACUAUGCAAAACUGUUAAGCAUAAUCUUUAGAUUACUCUGCAUAUGUCUCACGGUUCUGUGUGUACUUUUUUGUCAUCAUUAAGUAAAUCAGUGUCAAACUAUCAUAAGGAGAAUCUGCUUAUCAUAACGAAACAACCACUUGUCAUAGAGCAUUAAAAGAACUUAUCUUGUU
Ictalurus punctatus (channel catfish) is the source of this 677-nucleotide long non-coding RNA. RefSeq lists it as uncharacterized. The transcript is spliced from 2 exons. NCBI's taxonomy places the organism in Eukaryota, Metazoa, Chordata, Actinopteri, Siluriformes, Ictaluridae. The record is from RefSeq and is a predicted model, not a curated record.